Non-coding RNA from Podarcis lilfordi (Lilford's wall lizard), 77 nucleotides. Lineage: Eukaryota; Metazoa; Chordata; Lepidosauria; Squamata; Lacertidae. The record is from the annotation of a GenBank genome assembly.
GGAUAGCUCUGUCAGUAGAGCAUGAGACUCCUAAACUCAGGGUUUCGGGGUUGUGGGUUCAAGCCCCAUGAUGGGCA